GACAACUCCCAAACCCCACUGUGAACCGUACCCCCGAAACCGUUGCCUCGGCGGGGCAGGGCCCCCGCGGCCCGCCCGCCGCAGGACCGCAGACCCCCCCGAACCCGGGAGCCGCCGGCCUGCGCCGGCCCUCCCCGCGUCUGAAACGAAGAAAACACAAUGAGUCAAAACUUUCAACAACGGAUCUCUUGGCUCUGGCAUCGAUGAAGAACGCAGCGAAAUGCGAUAAGUAAUGUGAAUUGCAGAAUUCAGUGAAUCAUCGAAUCUUUGAACGCACAUUGCGCCCGCCAGCACUCUGGCGGGCAUGCCCGUCCGAGCGUCAUCUCCAUCCUCGGGGGCCCCAGGGCGCGAGCCCCGCGGGCCCCCGGCGUUGGGGGACGGCCGCGCGCCGCCCCCGAAAUGCAGUGGCGGCCACGCCCGCGGCGACCCCUGCGUAGUAGCGACUGCUCGCACCGGGAGCCCGGCGUCGGCCACCGCCGUCAAAACGAACCCAUCAUCACGUGACCUCGG
RNAcentral lists this ribosomal RNA (510 nucleotides) under Hirsutella citriformis. RNAcentral's name for it is "eukaryotic LSU rRNA". The stretch from base 169 to 322 matches the Rfam family "5.8S ribosomal RNA". Lineage: Eukaryota; Fungi; Ascomycota; Sordariomycetes; Hypocreales; Ophiocordycipitaceae. The record is from RNAcentral.